GACGAACGCUGGCGGCGUGCUUAACACAUGCAAGUCGAACGGAAAGGCCCCCUUGUGGGGUACUCGAGUGGCGAACGGGUGAGUAACACGUGAGUAACCUACCCUUGACUUUGGGAUAACUUCAGGAAACUGGGGCUAAUACCGGAUAGGAGCUCCUGCUGCAUGGUGGGGGUUGGAAAGUUUCGGCGGUUGGGGAUGGACUCGCGGCUUAUCAGCUUGUUGGUGGGGUAGUGGCUCACCAAGGCUUUGACGGGUAGCCGGCCUGAGAGGGUGACCGGCCACAUUGGGACUGAGAUACGGCCCAGACUCCUACGGGAGGCAGCAGUGGGGAAUAUUGCACAAUGGGCGGAAGCCUGAUGCAGCAACGCCGCGUGCGGGAUGACGGCCUUCGGGUUGUAAACCGCUUUCGCCUGUGACGAAGCGUGAGUGACGGUAAUGGGUAAAGAAGCACCGGCUAGCUACGUG
RNAcentral lists this ribosomal RNA (465 nucleotides) under uncultured bacterium. RNAcentral's name for it is "partial 16S ribosomal RNA". It matches the Rfam family "Bacterial small subunit ribosomal RNA", at positions 28 to 507 of the family's 1533-position model. The record is from RNAcentral.